This 789-nucleotide ribosomal RNA is filed under the name uncultured Staphylococcus sp. Its description in RNAcentral is "bacterial SSU rRNA". It matches the Rfam family "Bacterial small subunit ribosomal RNA", at positions 129 to 904 of the family's 1533-position model. Lineage: Bacteria; Bacillati; Bacillota; Bacilli; Caryophanales; Staphylococcaceae. The record is from RNAcentral.
CCUAUAAGACUGGGAUAACUUCGGGAAACCGGAGCUAAUACCGGAUAACAUUUAGAACCGCAUGGUUCUAAAGUGAAAGAUGGUUUUGCUAUCACUUAUAGAUGGACCCGCGCCGUAUUAGCUAGUUGGUAAGGUAACGGCUUACCAAGGCGACGAUACGUAGCCGACCUGAGAGGGUGAUCGGCCACACUGGAACUGAGACACGGUCCAGACUCCUACGGGAGGCAGCAGUAGGGAAUCUUCCGCAAUGGGCGAAAGCCUGACGGAGCAACGCCGCGUGAGUGAUGAAGGGUUUCGGCUCGUAAAACUCUGUUAUUAGGGAAGAACAAAUGUGUAAGUAACUGUGCACAUCUUGACGGUACCUAAUCAGAAAGCCACGGCUAACUACGUGCCAGCAGCCGCGGUAAUACGUAGGUGGCAAGCGUUAUCCGGAAUUAUUGGGCGUAAAGCGCGCGUAGGCGGUUUCUUAAGUCUGAUGUGAAAGCCCACGGCUCAACCGUGGAGGGUCAUUGGAAACUGGGAAACUUGAGUGCAGAAGAGGAAAGUGGAAUUCCAUGUGUAGCGGUGAAAUGCGCAGAGAUAUGGAGGAACACCAGUGGCGAAGGCGACUUUCUGGUCUGUAACUGACGCUGAUGUGCGAAAGCGUGGGGAUCAAACAGGAUUAGAUACCCUGGUAGUCCACGCCGUAAACGAUGAGUGCUAAGUGUUAGGGGGUUUCCGCCCCUUAGUGCUGCAGCUAACGCAUUAAGCACUCCGCCUGGGGAGUACGACCGCAAGGUUGAAACUCAA